GCUAGUCCGGUGUGCGGAGGCGGGGUAAGACUGGGUGUCCGAGCAGUAUCCGGAGUUAUUGGGUUUAAAGGGAGAGUAUGUGGACAGUUAAGGCAGGUGUGAAAGUUUGCGGCUCAACCGUAAGAGUGCAGUUGAUACUGGCUGUCUGGAGUACAGUAGAGGUGGGCGGAAUUCGUGGUGUAGCGGUGAAAUGCGUAGAUAUCACGAAGAACUCCGAUUGCGAAGGCAGCUCACUGGACUGCAACUGACACUGAUGCUCGAAAGUGUGGGUAUCAAACAGGAUUAGAUACCCUUGUAGUC
This 300-nucleotide ribosomal RNA is filed under the name uncultured Bacillus sp. RNAcentral describes it as "bacterial SSU rRNA". It matches the Rfam family "Bacterial small subunit ribosomal RNA", at positions 496 to 795 of the family's 1533-position model. The record is from RNAcentral. Lineage: Bacteria; Bacillati; Bacillota; Bacilli; Caryophanales; Bacillaceae.